GUUUUGCUUCCGUCUGAAUUUGGCUUUCAGAGUACUCCCUGUCAGCAGUUGCCAUUCUGUGUGUGUGUGCUUGUCUGUUUAUCUUCGUGCGAUCUUUGUUUAAUUGCAAAUGAAGUUUGUGGGUGGUCGCUCUUGGUCGUUUUCUAUUUGUGAUGCUGCUGUUCUUGGGUUCAGAUUGCAGUGGGUGAUUGGUGAGUCUCCGUGCCUAGUUGGUUUACAUUUCUGAUCAGAUGCUCUGGUACUCGUCACAUUACUCCCAAGCGCCGCAGUUUGAGCAACCCGGAAAUGCACAG
Molecule: long non-coding RNA, 293 nt
Filed under: Physcomitrium patens
Lineage: Eukaryota; Viridiplantae; Streptophyta; Bryopsida; Funariales; Funariaceae
Description: long non-coding RNA (PPAT_LNC009749)
Source: RNAcentral